GCUAGUACAAAAAUUAUUUGAUGACAGUUCUAUUUUGACUAUAAGGGGCCGAUUACAAGGAGCAUUUUCAACCCCGGGGUUGAACUCAGCCCUGUUAACCGGGUUGAAAAUUUUUGCAAUUACAUGGACGAUUUCAACCCAGGGGUUUAAAUGCUAUACGUUCUCGGCAUUGAAUCCCGCAAGUAAAAGCCUCCAUUUUUGGUCAUGAAUAAUUUCAGCCCUGGGUUCAAACGAUUACAUGACAAAAUGUUCAACCCAGGGCCGAGUUAACCCCGGGGGUUGCUGAAGCGGGGUUGAAAUUUCAACCCAGGCUUAAACUCGGUCCUGGGUUGAAAAUUUUGUCAUGUAAUCGCGCGUUUGAUUUUGAUAGGGUUUUGUAUUACAGGCAGGGCUGAAAUUUCAACCCGGUCGACAGGGCUGAGUUCAACCCCGGGGUUUAAAAUGCUCCAUGUAAUCGGCACCUAAGUUGAAACACAAAUGAUGAUUGAACAGUUCAAUACUUUGACAUGGCACAUUUUAACGCCUCCAAAGCUCCAGCCUGAACUCAGAACAACUCAGAACGCGUCAUUUGGAUGCGCAGUCGAAACUCCGAAUUAGCCAUUCCGAAGUUGAUGAGUGGACUGGGGACGAGUGUUAAAAAGUGCCCAAAAUAAGAAAUGAACCAAAUCACUAAAAAGACCACCUCAAAAUUAGUAAGUAUACAAAGUUUGAAGACGUUUACAUCAAUACCCUUCGAAUAAUAAGCUUUCGAAAAUUGUGAAAUUACUGGUUAAAAGAUUGUUUUUGGGACGCGCAUCCCCAAAAACAAAAAUUACAAUACAUUUCAUAGUAAAUAUCACCAUUUUCGAAAGCUUAUUAUUCGAAGGAUAUUCUUGUAAACGUCUUCAAACUUUGUAUAC
This is a non-coding RNA of Paramuricea clavata, 899 nucleotides long. The record is from the annotation of a GenBank genome assembly. NCBI's taxonomy places the organism in Eukaryota, Metazoa, Cnidaria, Anthozoa, Malacalcyonacea, Plexauridae.